AUACGGAGGGUGCAAGCGUUAUCCGGAAUUACUGGGUUUAAAGGUUGCGUAGGCGGUUUAAUAAGUCAGAAGGGAAAAGUCCGGGCUCAACCGGGGCCUUGCUUUUGAUACUGUUAGACUUGAAUUAGGCUGAGGUUAGCGGAAUGUGACAUGUAGCGGUGAAAUGCAUAGAUAUGUCAUAGAACACCAAUUGCGAAGGCAGCUAACUAGACCUUAAUUGACGCUGAGGCACGAAAGCGUGGGGAGCGAACAGGAUUAGAAACCCUAGUAGUCC
Molecule: ribosomal RNA, 274 nt
Filed under: uncultured bacterium
Lineage: Bacteria
Description: partial 16S ribosomal RNA
Rfam family: Bacterial small subunit ribosomal RNA
Source: RNAcentral